UCUGUGAAAGCUUCACUGACGGCACCACCUCCGAUUGGUAAACGUCCAUGGGGCAGGCCAUCAUUGAUCUGAUGUUCAGCACUCACAGCUACCGAAUAAUCAUCAUAUAACAUAAAAGGGAGCUGAUGAGUCAAGGGCUUGCUAAAUAAAUGAGGACUCUAGAUUUUCUAUGUAGAGAUUCUGCACUUACACUGCUUAUUUGCACUUUCUGGCUGCUGGUUGGACCGCUGCUACCACUGACAUCCGUGCUUACGGUUCCACGUUUGCACCAUCCAGACAAGUCACUAUAGUCAGGGAAAUCAUGGAGCCAUAAAACGGCUGCCCUCAUUUUAAAAUAUCUCUUGGUUGAAGCAUCCCAUGUUUCUAUCCCUUCCCACAUCUCCAGCAGCUCAUCAACUAAAGGCUCGAUCAGAGCAUCUACUCUCUUUGGAACCUUAGGGCCAGGGAUAAUAAGGGUAGGAUGCAUGUCCUCUGAAUUCACCUCUGUGCCAGGAGGGCCAGGAGGGCCAUUCAGUACAUUCAGAAAAACUUCCCAAUCCGAGGAAGGAGAAGCUUUGACAGUAACAGAAAGACGGAUGUUCCUAGGAUCCGCUGCAAAGCCUUUGUGAUCCUGGUCAAAUUGCUUCCAAACUUUCCCAUCGCAUGGAUGCGCCCUCCUAACAGAUGUGGAAGUGGGACGCUUCUGGGAGCUUUGCUGCCUCCUCGUGUGCGCAGAACCUUUGUAGCCCAUCU
Molecule: long non-coding RNA, 732 nt
Filed under: Brachypodium distachyon (stiff brome)
Lineage: Eukaryota; Viridiplantae; Streptophyta; Magnoliopsida; Poales; Poaceae
Description: long non-coding RNA (BDIS_LNC002838)
Source: RNAcentral